This 541-nucleotide unclassified non-coding RNA is filed under the name uncultured Lactobacillus sp. RNAcentral describes it as "partial contains 16S ribosomal RNA, 16S-23S intergenic spacer, and 23S ribosomal RNA". The stretch from base 356 to 541 matches the Rfam family "Bacterial large subunit ribosomal RNA", at positions 1 to 189 of the family's 2925-position model. The record is from RNAcentral. Lineage: Bacteria; Bacillati; Bacillota; Bacilli; Lactobacillales; Lactobacillaceae.
ACACCAUGAGAGUUUGUAACACCCAAAGCCGGCCGGAUAACCUAGUUUACUAGGAGUCAGCCGUCUAAGGUGGGACAAAUGAUUAGGGUGAAGUCGUAACAAGGUAGCCGUAGGAGAACCUGCGGCUGGAUCACCUCCUUUCUAAGGAAAAAAAGCGAAGCUGACGGAGAGUAGGAGACUACUAAGAGAAGUCAGUGAAGCAAACGGAAGCACACGAAAGAAACUUUGUUUAGUUUUGAGGGUAGUACCUCAAGAAAAGUUAGUACAUUGAAAACUGAAUAUAAUCCAAAUAAAAACCGAGACAAUCAUUGAAGAACAGAUUGUAGAGCGACCGAGAAGAGCGAUCUUAAAGUAAGGUCAAGUAGACAAGGGCGCAAGGUGAAUGCCUAGGCACUAGCAGCCGAAGAAGGACGUGACGAACUACGAAAAGCUUCGGGGAGUUGUAAGUAAACUAAGAUCCGGAGAUGUCCAAAUGGGGAAACCCAAUGCAGUGAUGCAUUAUUACUAGCCGAAUAGAUAGGCUGGUAAAGGAAGACGCAGU